Molecule: unclassified non-coding RNA, 378 nt
Filed under: plant metagenome
Description: partial contains 5.8S ribosomal RNA, internal transcribed spacer 2, and large subunit ribosomal RNA
Rfam family: 5.8S ribosomal RNA (bases 1-105)
Source: RNAcentral
GAAAUGCGAUAAGUAAUGUGAAUUGCAGAAUUCAGUGAAUCAUCGUAUCUUUGAACGCACCUUGCGCUCCUUGGUAUUCCUUGGAGCAUGCCUGUUUGAGUAUCAUGAAAUCUUCAAAGUAAAUCUUUUGUUAACUCAAUUGGUUUCUACUUUGGUAUUGGAGGUCUUUGCAGCUUCACACCUGCUCCUCUUUGUUCAUUAGCUGGAUCUCAGUGUUAUGCUUGGUUCCACUCGGCGUGAUAAGUUAUCUAUCGCUGAGGACACUGUAAAAGGUGGCCAAGGUAAAUGCAGAUGAACCGCUUCUAAUAGUCCAUUGACUUGGACAAUACUUUUAUGAUCUGAUCUCCAAUCAGGUAGGACUACCCGCUGAACUUAAGC